RNAcentral lists this transfer RNA (76 nucleotides) under Caldilineae bacterium. RNAcentral describes it as "tRNA-Asn". It matches the Rfam family "tRNA". From Rfam's summary of the family: Transfer RNA (tRNA) molecules are approximately 80 nucleotides in length. Their secondary structure includes four short double-helical elements and three loops (D, anti-codon, and T loops). The record is from RNAcentral. Lineage: Bacteria; Bacillati; Chloroflexota; Caldilineae.
UCCACCGUAGCUCAAUUGGCAGAGCGACCGGCUGUUAACCGGUUGGUUCCUGGUUCGAGUCCAGGCGGUGGAGCCU